GGUGUAAUUUUACCGUCAAUGUGCUCCCGUAAAUAGGUGCCGCAAUGAUUUCUCGUUGCAUGCAUACGUUUUGCUUUCGUUAUUACCCUUAUUUUGUUCAAAUAAAAGGUAAAUAAAUAAGUAAAAAGGAUGCAGCGGCUUGCCUUAAUACGUCAGUACGUACUCCUCCACCGAAAACCUGCAACCGCGGAUAACACACUCCACAGUCAACCUCCCUAAAUGCCCCCCGAGUCGAGGUAGGCUUUUACUCAAGCAUAUUAUCUCUCGCUCCUUCGAAGAAGGAGGUGCGAGUAUAUAUAGGGUGAUCGUGUCACGUCGAGCACGGCCUGCUCUUUCUUCCUGCCUCCCUCUCCGUCAAUCCAGCGACUUAGACUUGCCUUGUGAGACUUUGCGGGUGCGGGACUGACGAGUUUUGGGAGGUAAAUUGGGGAUGGAGUUUAAACUCGUUGAAGCCACGUUUAAGAGGCUCUGUACCCGCUUUAAGGGCUUGGUCUCCAAGGGUUCGGGUGCGGCCUCGGCAGCAGCACCGAGUCGGACUCUCAGAAGAUGGACGCCGACUCGUCCACGCUCCACCUGCUUAGGUACGACCUGUGGGACUGGUAGUGGGUGCGGGGCGAGUGGAGGCUGUGGCAGGACCUCCACUUGCCGCUGUCCGGUUCUUCGUGGCCGUUGGUGGUACCGGUGCAGAGCACGGGGGAGGCGUCCCUGGCGCACCUGCGGCGCAGCGCGCUCCGGAGGAAGCAGUCGUGCCGCUGGCACUCCUACCGGCCCUCGCACGCGAAGCUCCAGGCGCAGCCGCCGCCGCUCUCCGAGGAGCACCCCUAGUACCUCUACACGCUGCACCGCCUCCUCUUCUUCCCCACCCAGUACUUCACGGUCCAGCGGUACGUCGCCACGAGCCCCAAGGACUUUCCGCCGCCCCUCCUCCCACGGUUCAGCGGCUACCAGCUCCACAUGCACCGCUCGGACAAGGCCCCGUUGGGCCAGCACAAGUGGUUCCGCUACUUCGACGCCGAGUCCUCCUGCGCGGUCCAGUUCCGCGGCAAGUACCUCGGGUAGGGGCUCACGCCGCUCGUGCGGCCGCUGCUGCGCUUUCUUUGCGGCAGACUGGUCUUCGUACUAGGUGUCCUUAGCCUCAUGUCCACGAUGUUCGGCCUCGGCCGGUACCUGCUGCAGCUGAUGCUGUCGAACAUGUACCCUAGCCGCCCCGACCUUCCGCCCCUGUCGCUCGAGAGCACCAAGUGCCGGCCGCAGUCUCACCCGCACCAGUAGUCGGACCCGUAGAAGGAGCCGCAGCCGUAGCCGCGACCUGAGGACCGGGCAAGGAUGGUCAGGUGGAGGUCCUCAUACUCCGCCGCCGACUAGAGGCCGGACGAGACUGAUACUUGCCGCCGUAAGGUCGUAUAGUGCCUCGGUCGACCCGUGUCGUUGAGACAAAGAGAGGUCUGCACUGCGCGUACCUCUAAUGAGACAACAGACGACCUACACACACAUGUGGGAAGACGGACAAUAUAUCUUGGUGAUUAUAACGAUGAUUCUUACGACGUCAGCACGUGAUUACAACACGACAGUGAAGGCCGUUGAUGCUCCGUCGACGAAACAAUGUAUGUACGUACGUCUGUUUGCACAGGAGUCAACGGUGCGGACGCAUAUGACGAUAUAUUGUGCUCUAGUAGCUAACACGACAAUUCUUGUCUACGUUAUAGCAGGUAGCAAAUCGGGCGAAGUAGUACAACUACGUGCGACUCCUCCUCUCGCGCGGGGAGGCGGCCCGGUAGCGUUGCCCCAGCAGCGGCAUACACAACCGGCGGCUCCGGCCGCCUUCGCGGCCUCUCUACCUCUACCCCUACGAGGGGCCCAUGGUCGCGGACAGCUGGUGCACACUGCGCUGAAAGGGGCUGCUGCUGUCGCCGCUGAUGUCCCGCACCGGCACCCGCACGGACGGAGUUCGCCAGUCCUACGAGACCCCCUAUGAGCGGGCACAGCACACCUCCACCUCCCCGCUUCCGCUUCUUAGCCGCGGUCGUGGCCGUGGCCGCCGACCCUUACCCUCCUCCGCCAGCAGUACCUCCGGCCUGGGACUGCUGGCCACCGGCCACGUCCCGACCACGAUCGACUGCAGCAAAAGAAGAAACAUCGACUACUUCCAUAACCUCUGUGUACCCUAAGUCCCAUACACACACGCACCUAAAACUUCAAGUAAGUCUUCCCCUUUUUUUGAAAACCAAACAUCAUCAAGAAAGUAUAUAGAACAAGUCAACAAGAUACCACCCUAGGUCGGUAGGUCCGCAACAAGCCUGUCUUUAUUCUGUGAGUUGGCCGGCGAGGUUUGCGUG
Molecule: ribosomal RNA, 2336 nt
Filed under: Triticum aestivum (bread wheat)
Lineage: Eukaryota; Viridiplantae; Streptophyta; Magnoliopsida; Poales; Poaceae
Description: partial small subunit ribosomal RNA
Source: RNAcentral